This is a small nuclear RNA of Mustela putorius furo (domestic ferret), 110 nucleotides long. NCBI's taxonomy places the organism in Eukaryota, Metazoa, Chordata, Mammalia, Carnivora, Mustelidae. The record is from Ensembl.
GUUGUGUCUGCUUCAGCAAAACAUAAACUAAAAUCAGAACAAUACAGAGAAGAUUAGCAGGGCUGCUGCACAAGGAUGACAGACAAAUUCAUCAAAUAUUCUAUAUUAUU